GAGAGGUGGCCGAGUGGUUUAAGGCACUAGUCUUGAAAACUGGCGUGGGGCAACCCACCGAGGGUUCGAAUCCCUCCCUCUCC
Molecule: transfer RNA, 83 nt
Filed under: human gut metagenome
Also listed under: 1 other name
Rfam family: tRNA
About the family: Transfer RNA (tRNA) molecules are approximately 80 nucleotides in length. Their secondary structure includes four short double-helical elements and three loops (D, anti-codon, and T loops).
Source: RNAcentral